Molecule: long non-coding RNA, 1486 nt
Organism: Oncorhynchus tshawytscha (Chinook salmon)
Lineage: Eukaryota; Metazoa; Chordata; Actinopteri; Salmoniformes; Salmonidae
Source: Ensembl
UGUUGACCUGUCUAAAGUCUUACUCACAUCGGCUGCAGAGAGCGUGAUCACAGUCUUCCGGUACAGCUGCUGCGCUCAUGCAUGUUAUUUGCCUCGAAGCGAGCAUAGAAGUAGUUUAGCUCAUCUGAUAGGCUCGUGAGGUAGAUCUAGGAUUUUAAAAAUCGUAUCACGGGGGAUGGUAGAGGACGCCAUGUGCGACUGACGUGUUUUUCCGUUUGCUCCCGUGGUAUUCUUGAAGUUUAUGUGAAUUCUGCAGCAGAACCAUAUUUAUUUUCAAAUAUUAAUUUGGUGAUCCCUUUCCGUAAAAAACAAGACUACUUUGCUUCUGAAUGUCAGCAUGUCGACCAAACAUAAGGCCAAAAGCAUGACUUUGAGAAAACCCGGCCUACAAGACCCGCUCUCAUCACCGCCCUCUCCUGAGUCUGAGGGCCCGAGGAUGCACACUUUAACUGGGGGCACGGCGCUGAAAUGAACAUUCUCGAGGCCAUCAAACUACUACGCUCUGAGAUAGUUGAAAUGAAAACACAGGUGGUUGUGUUUCUCAACACGUCAUUCACAUUUCAUUUUCAGAGAUCAUUACUCUUGAAUAAACGGCCUUUACUAUACAUUAUCCGCCUUGUCCAGAGUCGCAACUUGGUCUCGUUUCUCAUGUAUCUAUUCAUCAACAGUUGCUACGAUUGAGGCCAGAAUACAGGAGGUUUCUGAUACUUUAAAAGCAGAUUUAACCAUCCUGCAGAACGAGACUGUGCCAGCAAUCACAAUACACAAAACAACAACUGCGUCACACACUACAACGAUUGCGGCACUGGAGACCUCCGCUACUGAUGUCUCCGAUUUAACUACAUCCCUGGAGGCUGAAGUUAAACGCCUAGUUGCGGAUUUGAAAAAGGUGAAGGAGAGCUGUGUGAGUCUAGAGGGAUUCUCUCGCUGCAAUAAUCUGAGACUUGUAUCAUGCAUCGCGCCACCGAUUUCGUUUCAGGGCUGCUGAAGGAUGUUCUUGCCUUAGAUGAAAAGCCCCUGAUUGAUCGAGCCCACCGGUCGCUGCGCCCAAAGCCCCGGGAUGGGGAGAGGCCCCAUGACAUAAUUCUUUGAGUGCACUUUUUUCAUGAGAAGAUGGAGAUCCUCCGACGAGCCCGCAAUACCACUCUGAGCUUUCAAGGACAGAGCUUUUCCAUCUACCAGGACUACUCCCCCACUGUUUCCAGGCAGCGCGCAGCUUUCGGACAGGCCAAACGAGUACUUCAGGACCAUCCAAGUGUGAAGUAUGGACUGCGAUUCCCGGCCAGUUUAUGGAUAUCUCAUGAGGGUAAAGACUACACAUUUGAAUCUCCGGAUGAGGCUAUGGCUCACAUUCAACGUCACAUCAAGAAGUCUUGAAUAUGCUCACAGUUCAGCAACUGUUGCUUGCGAACUGUGGAUAGACCUGAGCCCUAGGACCAUGCCCCAGGACUACCUGACAUGAUGACUCCUUGCUGUCCCCAGUCCA